This 405-nucleotide ribosomal RNA is filed under the name uncultured bacterium. RNAcentral describes it as "bacterial SSU rRNA". It matches the Rfam family "Bacterial small subunit ribosomal RNA", at positions 355 to 775 of the family's 1533-position model. The record is from RNAcentral.
CGAGGAAUCUUGGGCAAUGGGCGCAAGCCUGACCCAGCGACGCCGCGUGGAGGAUGAAGGCCCUCGGGUCGUAAACUCCUUUUGGAUGGGACGAAGCUCUGACGGUACCAUCCGAAUCAGCCCCGGCUAACUACGUGCCAGCAGCCGCGGUAAUACGUAGGGGGCGAGCGUUGUCCGGAUUUAUUGGGCGUAAAGGGCGCGCAGGCGGUUCAUUAAGUCUGGUGUGAAAGCUCCCGGCUCACCUGGGAGAGGGCACUGGAGACUGGUGGACUGGAGCGAGGCAGAGGCCGGUGGAAUUCCCGGUGUAGUGGUGAAAUGCGUAGAGAUCGGGAGGAACACCAGUGGCGAAGGCGGCCGGCUGGGCCUUGACUGACGCUGAGGCGCGAAAGCGUGGGGAGCGAACCG